Oryza brachyantha (malo sina) is the source of this 456-nucleotide long non-coding RNA. RefSeq lists it as uncharacterized. Lineage: Eukaryota; Viridiplantae; Streptophyta; Magnoliopsida; Poales; Poaceae. The record is from RefSeq and is a predicted model, not a curated record. The transcript has 3 exons.
UGCUGCCGAGGAUGAAGGUUUUGUUCUAGCCACUCUGUAUCUGCCAGGUCCUAACGCGGAUCUAUCCUGAUGCGUCGAUCCAGGCAGUCGAAGCCCGCCGGCGACCGACCUCUUCCACCCUAGCCCGCCCGCGCCCGCUGGAACACGCCGCCGUCCGCCGCGCCGCGCCGCCCGGAGCGCGCCGUCGUCCGCCUGCCAGCUGCCGUUCACCUGUCGUGGACAUGGGAUGGGAGGGGGAGGGAGAUUGUCGGAGGGAGGAGAGGAGGAAGAGAGGAAUAAAGGGAGAGAGAAAAGUGGUAAGUUGGAUCCCUCUAUAACAAAGGACACUUGAGGUGCUUUUUUUGAAGUAUGGAGAACUUAAUCAUGUGGAUUUUGGAGUGCUACUCAAGUCACUACAAACAUUAUACCACAUGCCUUUUCACUACAAUUCAGUUUAUGAGCUGAGAAAACCUUCAG